Molecule: long non-coding RNA, 1601 nt
Filed under: Saimiri boliviensis boliviensis (Bolivian squirrel monkey)
Lineage: Eukaryota; Metazoa; Chordata; Mammalia; Primates; Cebidae
Description: lncRNA (ENSSBOG00000036614.1)
Source: RNAcentral
CGUCUCAAAAAAAAAAAAAAAAAAAAAGUUUAAAGGGAAAAAAAAAAGAGAGAGAUGAGGAAGGGAGCCCACAUUGGCCGGACCCGGAGGCUCAGUGAUCCUCCCACGGCUGUUUCCAGAGUAGCGGGAACCUGAUGCAUCCCUGCACUGUUUAAGCAGCAGGUGGUGACCUCCUCCCGGGCCUGAGCACUCCACCCCGCAUCCCAGGCCGUGACCCUAAGAGAGUUUCCAAAGCUGAGCCCAGGGUGAACACUCCCUCCCAAGUGAACGGAAAAUAGAAACGGAGAGAAUUUCUAUUCUGUUCUGUGGGCCGCCAGCAUGAAAUCGUACGUUCCGCCCAGGUAGGGCUUUGCAUUUCAAGCGUUCUUGCCCGGUCUUCUCUCCAAAACCUGAAAAAUAAAGGCGCGGGGAGCGAGCCUCAGAGAGGCACAGGUUCAAACCCUUAUGGUCCUCUGGUUUCUAAAGGCAAGGUCUCUCCGCCUCGGGCCUCGCGCCCACUUCGCCAGGACCCCGCCCACCUCCACGUGGGUUCCGCCCACCUCCACGUGAACCCCGCCCACGUCACGUGGGUCCCGCCCAGGCCUGGCUUCCGUCCUGCGCGCGCAGACUCUUACAAACCGGAAGCGGAUCGCGUGAAGGGGAGGUCACGCCGCAGCUCGAUUGACUUCUAAAGACUCUUGAUACGUGAGGACGAAACCCGGAAGAGGAAGAAGGAAGCAAAGGAGCCAGGGAUGGCUCUUCCUCAGGUGAGAUGAUCUUCUCCAUCUAUUGUUCUGUCUCCUUCCUUUCAGAAAUGCUGGGCCUUGGAGUUGGGAAUCUUCUCUGAGUCUGAAGCGUCCUGCCUGACAGGUUUGCUGGCACUCACCCAUGCCUUCCCUCAGUCCCUCUCAUCUCACUUAGAUUCCAUCUCUGGUGACCCAGUGACAUGAGCUUGGGAAGAGGCUGCACUGGGCAUGGUCCUGGGAAGGGCUCACCUCAGAUGUGGAUGGAGAUGGGGUGUGGGCCCCGUGGUGUCAGGGCUGCUGGGCAGCAGGGAUUGUUCAGGGGCCACAUCGGGAUGCUCCAUCAGCUCUCUGUAGACCAGGAGUAGAGCAGCUGCCCAUGGAAGUUACGUAUUAAUGUGCACAAAGGACGUGGUAAAUUUUCUGAAAGGUGACCAGUAAGGGGAAAUCUUUUCUGCCUGAUUUUAUGCUACAUGUUUAGGUAAUUAAGUGAAUUGUUAGGUUUCUGACUCCAAAAAUCUUACUCAAAAUGGAAAGUUCAGACAUGAAUGAUACAAGGUGUUUUAUCCCAUCAUUCUUUUAAGCAUAUGAAACCAACGUAAAUAAUAGCAGGAGAUUCAUUAAACCAUUCUUAGUGCAUUAAGCUCAUGGAGACCGUGGUGUUACUGUGAGAGGCUUGUGAAACAGGUGUUUUUGGUAUCAGUAGUUAUGAUUUUUCUCAAAUAGGGGAGCAGUACUUCUUUAUCCUAAAGGAUGGAGCCAUGUUCUCAUUCCACCUAUCAUCGUCAUCAUCAUCAACAUCAUCAACAUCAUUUAUUAUUUGAGAUGGAGCCUCCCUGUGUUGCCCAGACGGAAGUGUCGUGGCAUGGUCUCGGCUCA